Salarias fasciatus (jewelled blenny) is the source of this 398-nucleotide long non-coding RNA. RefSeq lists it as uncharacterized. The transcript is spliced from 4 exons. Lineage: Eukaryota; Metazoa; Chordata; Actinopteri; Blenniiformes; Blenniidae. The record is from RefSeq and is a predicted model, not a curated record.
GGUUUUCACUGACUCCUUUACAUCAAUGUGGAAAUGUUUCACAUUGUCAUAUUAGCUUCCACAAAUGAAGUGGAAGUUGUUCCAGCAAAUUGGUUUAAAAAAAACACCUGUCUGUGGCCACCAUACAAAUGGGAUGAUGUUGUAAAAGCAGUAAGAUCACAGGAACAACCUGGAACACGUUGGAUUCCGUACAAACUACUUAUGAGGAAGCGAGGGUCAAACUGCCAGAGCCUGAAAGAUUCACGGAUUUGACUGAUUCAGAAACCAGCCACAGAGACACAAACGGAGAACAAUGAAGAGGUGUCACAUUCAAGAUGAUGCGGAUAGUGAAGAUGAGACGUCGGGAGCAUCUACUUUACCUAGACCUCCAGAAAUGGCCACUGCAAAGAAGCUGUCAC